GUGAUCACUUCGGCAGCACAUAUAGUAAAAUUGAAAAGAUAGAGAAGAUUAGCACGGCCCUGUGCAAUGAUGACACGCAAUCAUAAAGCACUCCACAUUUUU
Arvicola amphibius (Eurasian water vole) is the source of this 102-nucleotide small nuclear RNA. The record is from RefSeq and is a predicted model, not a curated record. NCBI's taxonomy places the organism in Eukaryota, Metazoa, Chordata, Mammalia, Rodentia, Cricetidae.